UACGUAGGGGGCAAGCGUUGUCCGGAAUCAUUGGGCGUAAAGCGCGUGUAGGCGGCUGGCUAAGUCCGCUCUGAAAGCCCACGGCUCAACCGUGGAAUUGCGCUCGAGACUGAAGGGCUCGAGGACGGGAGAGGAUGGUGGAAUUCCCAGUGUAGAGGUGGAAUUCGUAGAGAUCCGGAAGAACACCUGCGGCGAAGGCGGGUAGCUGGGCCAACACUGACGCUGAGACGCGAAAGCUAGGGGAGCAAACGGG
Molecule: ribosomal RNA, 253 nt
Filed under: uncultured bacterium
Lineage: Bacteria
Description: partial 16S ribosomal RNA
Rfam family: Bacterial small subunit ribosomal RNA
Source: RNAcentral